CAACAUGAUAACUUUUUUUAUCAGGGUGCUGAUUGAUCGUAUUAUUGCCCGACCGGGGAAUUAAACGUGUUAUAUUGAUAACUGCCGGGAGCAUUGGUGUUCGUUUCGUACAGCUGACGUACAGACAGUACUAGUACUGUAGCCCUUAUGAGCAGGGUGAACUGGCCCCCAGCCCUGACUACAGAGAACAGGACGAUGACCCUGAUAGUCAGCUUUCGUUAUCUCUUCAAUCAAGGGAAGCUAUAGAUGAUGAUGAAGAUGAAGAUGUUGUACACACAAGCAAAGACAAAAUUGAUGAUGAGGAUGGCCUAGACAUCAAACCACCCCAGGUACAGGCCGGGCGAAAGGAGCGGAAACACAAACAUAAAGACAAUCGUCGUCGCGACAAGGAAAGACACUCUCAGGCACAAAAUAAGAGUGAUAGACAGCCAAGAGAAAAAGAUAGAUCCUCACGUAGUGGCCAUGGUUACAGCCGUGAGCCACAGAGAUCCAGAAAACAGGAUAUGAGGGAGCGAGAGGUCAGAGAUACAAGGGAUAGUUAUCGCGAAUCUAAAGAGAAGGAACGAGAGCGUCGAGUCAAGGAGGAAGAGAAGAGGCAAAAAUCUUGUAU
This is a long non-coding RNA of Pecten maximus, 610 nucleotides long. RefSeq lists it as uncharacterized. The transcript is spliced from 3 exons. The record is from RefSeq and is a predicted model, not a curated record. Lineage: Eukaryota; Metazoa; Mollusca; Bivalvia; Pectinida; Pectinidae.